Molecule: ribosomal RNA, 426 nt
Filed under: uncultured bacterium
Lineage: Bacteria
Description: bacterial SSU rRNA
Rfam family: Bacterial small subunit ribosomal RNA
Source: RNAcentral
GAGGAAUAUUGCGCAAUGGGGGCAACCCUGACGCAGCGACGCCGCGUGAGUGAGGAAGGCCUUCGGGUCGUAAAGCUCUGUCAAAGGGAAAGAAGUGCAUGGUGGCUAAUACCUGCCAUGUUUGACGGUACCCUUAAAGGAAGCACCGGCUAACUCCGUGCCAGCAGCCGCGGUAAUACGGAGGGUGCAAGCGUUGUUCGGAAUCACUGGGCGUAAAGGGCGCGCAGGCGGUUUGGUAAGUCAGAUGUGAAAGCCCACGGCUUAACCGUGGAAGUGCAUUUGAUACUGCCAGACUUGAGUACCAGAGGGGAAAGUGGAAUUCCCGGUGUAGAGGUGAAAUUCGUAGAUAUCGGGAGGAAUACCGGUGGCGAAGGCGACUUUCUGGCUGAGUACUGACGCUGAGGCGCGAAAGCGUGGGGAGCAAAC